Molecule: transfer RNA, 66 nt
Filed under: Lissodema cursor
Lineage: Eukaryota; Metazoa; Arthropoda; Insecta; Coleoptera; Salpingidae
Description: tRNA-Ile
Source: RNAcentral
AAUAAAGUGCCUGAGAAAAAAAGGACUAUUUUGAUAGAAUAGAUUAUGUGUAUAACACCUUUAUUA